Gopherus agassizii (Agassiz's desert tortoise) is the source of this 124-nucleotide small nuclear RNA. Its record names the gene U2. It matches the Rfam family "U2 spliceosomal RNA". From Rfam's summary of the family: U2 is a small nuclear RNA (snRNA) component of the spliceosome (involved in pre-mRNA splicing). Complementary binding between U2 snRNA (in an area lying towards the 5' end but 3' to hairpin I) and the branchpoint sequence (BPS) of the intron results the bulging out of an unpaired adenosine, on the BPS, which initiates a nucleophilic attack at the intronic 5' splice site, thus starting the first of two transesterification reactions that mediate splicing. Lineage: Eukaryota; Metazoa; Chordata; Testudines; Testudinidae. The record is from Ensembl.
UUAGUAUCUGUGAGCUAAGAUCAAGUGUAGUAUCUGUUCUUAUCAGUUUAAUAUCUGAUAUUAUUUGUAAAUAAUUUCAAACUGGCUAGGAUUCAGACCUACAAUCAAAACUGAAAAAUGACAC